GAUGAACGCUGGCGGCGUGCCUAAUACAUGCAAGUCGAGCGAACUCUUGGGAGCUUGCUCCCAAUAGUUAGCGGCGGACGGGUGAGUAACACGUGGGUAACCUGCCUGUAAGACUGGGUUACCUUCGGGAAACCGCAGCUAUUACCGGAUAACAUUGAAGACCACAUGGCCUUCACUUAAAAGGUGGCUUUUAGCUACCACUUACAGAUGGACCCGCGUCGCAUUGGCUAGUUGGUGAGGUAACGGCUCACCAAGGCGACGAUGGGUAGACGACCUGAGAGGGUGAGAGGAGACACUGGGAGUGUGACACGGCCCAGAGACCUACAGGGGGGGGAGGAAGGGGGACUUUCGGAAUGGGGGAGAGACUGACAGAGAAACGCCGCGCGAGCGAAGAGGGGCUUCGGGUGGUAAAGAGCUGUUGUGAGAGAAGAAAAAGAAUCGUUCGAAUAGGGCGGUAGCUUGACGGUACCUAAACAGAAAGCAACGGCUAACUACGUG
RNAcentral lists this ribosomal RNA (498 nucleotides) under uncultured bacterium. RNAcentral describes it as "partial 16S ribosomal RNA". It matches the Rfam family "Bacterial small subunit ribosomal RNA", at positions 28 to 507 of the family's 1533-position model. The record is from RNAcentral.